RNAcentral lists this ribosomal RNA (479 nucleotides) under uncultured Chloracidobacterium sp. Its description in RNAcentral is "bacterial SSU rRNA". It matches the Rfam family "Bacterial small subunit ribosomal RNA", at positions 19 to 528 of the family's 1533-position model. Lineage: Bacteria; Pseudomonadati; Acidobacteriota; Blastocatellia; Chloracidobacteriales; Chloracidobacteriaceae. The record is from RNAcentral.
CUGGCUCAGAAUCAACGCUGGCGGCAUGCCUAACACAUGCAAGUCGAACGGGAAAGUCCUUCGGGACGAGUACAGUGGCGCACGGGUGAGUAACGCGUGGGUUAUCUACCUCUGGGUGGGGAAUAACUCGGGGAAACUCGAGCUAAUACCGCAUAACACGUUUACGUUAAAGCAGCAAUGCGCCUGGAGAUGAGCCUGCGUCCGAUUAGCUAGUUGGCGGGGUAAUGGCCCACCAAGGCGACGAUCGGUAGCCGGCCUGAGAGGGCGGUCGGCCACACUGGCACUGAAACACGGGCCAGACUCCUACGGGAGGCAGCAGUGAGGAAUUUUGGGCAAUGGGCGAAAGCCUGACCCAGCAAUGCCGCGUGAACGAUGAAGUCCUUCGGGGAUGUAAAGUUCGUAAGCAGGGAGAAGAAUACCUGACGGGUAUCCUGUGUAAGCCCCGGGCUAAACUACGUGCCAGCAGCCGCGUAAAACGU